Molecule: ribosomal RNA, 497 nt
Filed under: uncultured bacterium
Lineage: Bacteria
Description: partial 16S ribosomal RNA
Rfam family: Bacterial small subunit ribosomal RNA
Source: RNAcentral
GAUGAACGCUGGCGGCGUGCCUAAUACAUGCAAGUCGAGCGAACAGACGAGGAGCUUGCUCCUUCGACGUUAGCGGCGGACGGGUGAGUAACACGUAGGUAACCUACCUAUAAGACUGGGAUAACUUCGGGAAACCGGAGCUAAUACCGGAUAAUAUUUCGAACCGCAUGGUUCGAUAGUGAAAGAUGGCUUUGCUAUCACUUAUAGAUGGACCUGCGCCGUAUUAGCUAGUUGGUAAGGUAACGGCUUACCAAGGCAACGAUACGUAGCCGACCUGAGAGGGUGAUCGGCCACACUGGAACUGAGACACGGUCCAGACUCCUACGGGAGGCAGCAGUAGGGAAUCUUCCGCAAUGGGCGAAAGCCUGACGGAGCAACGCCGCGUGAGUGAUGAAGGUCUUCGGAUCGUAAAACUCUGUUAUUAGGGAAGAACAAACGUGUAAGUAAAUGUGCACGUCUUGACGGUACCUAAUCAGAAAGCCACGGCUAACUACGUG